UGCGCAGGCGGCUUUGCAAGACAGAUGUGAAAUCCCCGGGCUCAACCUGGGAACUGCAUUUGUGACUGCAUGGCUGGAGUGCGGCAGAGGGGGAUGGAAUUCCGCGUGUAGCAGUGAAAUGCGUAGAUAUGCGGAGGAACACCGAUGGCGAAGGCAAUCCCCUGGGCCUGCACUGACGCUCAUGCACGAAAGCGUGGGGAGCAAACAGGAUUAGAUACCCCCGUA
Molecule: ribosomal RNA, 225 nt
Filed under: uncultured Methylibium sp.
Lineage: Bacteria; Pseudomonadati; Pseudomonadota; Betaproteobacteria; Burkholderiales; Sphaerotilaceae
Description: partial 16S ribosomal RNA
Rfam family: Bacterial small subunit ribosomal RNA
Source: RNAcentral